Non-coding RNA from Pelodiscus sinensis (Chinese soft-shelled turtle), 3515 nucleotides. NCBI's taxonomy places the organism in Eukaryota, Metazoa, Chordata, Testudines, Trionychidae. The record is from RefSeq and is a predicted model, not a curated record.
AAUCUUCAGACUGCUUCUCGCAGUCAUUGCCCUGUGAGGGGCCAUUCUCCCACAAGCUGUCCCAGCUCCAAAACCCAAGUCCUAGCCUGUAUGUGCCGUAGGCAUAAUGUGUAGUUAGGGGGCGUUAUGCCUCUAACUCCAAGAAAGUACUGGGGGUCCUUACAUUAGCUAAUAUAUGGCUGCUAAAUAUACCUCCUGACUGUUGCACUGCAUGCCUGACUGAAAGAAUCCCCCAAUAAUCUCAGAAGAAACAAAUAAAAGAACCAGGCGAAAUAAAACAUUCUUCUCGGAAGGUUUGAGACUCAGUAUCUGGCCAACAUCCAGCAGGAGGAAAUCUCUAUUGUUCAUUAAAAUAUUUCUGUUCUAAGCACAAAGGUUAGCACAAAUGCCCUGUUAGUGGCAUUCAGUUUGCAUCAGGAUUUUUCAUUCUGCAUUAUGACAGCUUUCCAAGGCAGUAUGGUUUUGGGGAAUUAGGUUGGAUACUAGCCGCAAAAGAGCUUGAUUCUUUGUGAAACUCCUUGUCUCCCCAGUUACUUUGCUGCAUGACCUUGGGCAAAUGAAUCAUAUAUGUCUUAACUUCACCCUCUGUAAAAUGGGGAUAAUAUUUCUGACUGUUAGUAUCUUUCACCUGAGAAUCUCUGCAGUGGAAAGUAUUGUUAUUGCCAAAUUCACCAUAAGCAAUUCUUUUGGGUCCUUGAUAACAGCAGUAGAAUCAGUUAAAUGCCCUUGAUACAUUGCAUGGUCCCAGAUACCUUUCAGAGUCUCUUUGUGUGCUAUCCCACCCCCUGAGGUCUGAGGGGACAGGGAAUGCUGGAGUCUGGUUUUUUUCAGGAAGAGUAGUCUGUUUGCUUCUGGCCUCAGGACUGUGGACUGCUCUUCUUUUUGACAUGAGGACCACUGGAAUGAACCUCUUUUAAAGGAGGUUUUAAAUUAUGAAUCUCAGAAUGCCUUCAGCAGAUUGUGUUGCUUUAUAUAUUUAGUCAAUGAGCAGUUUGACUAUUUACCAGAUACUUUCUGUUUGGUGGAGAUAGCUGAGAAGAGCCAUUGCUUUAAUAGCUAUAUCGUCAACUUUUAACUCCGCAUCACAGUAGGGAGCAGCUCAAACAGAAAAAAAAACGGAUAAAGAUUUUUCAUUCACGAAAAGGUUAAAGGCGUUUCCCCAUCGCAAGAGGGAUUAUCUUACCAGAGGAUUCUGGGACUGCAGAUGUAUACUGCGGCAAAAUCCUAAAUUCAUCGGAAAAAAAUCAUUUCCAGACCCCAGCUGCCAAAAAUAAUAGAAUUAUAGUAAAUCAUUGAUAAGAUUAAAACAUAAACCCAUUUUUACAUUCUAAAGUGUUUUAAAACAUGAGUCUUUUCUCUCAAUUCAUUUCUUAAAUAAUGCAAAUUUUAAAGUAGCUUUCCUAUCCUAAGCACGCAGCGCCAUGAAAUCGAUAAUUUUUGAUCUUUUGGUUAGUAGGCAACAUGGUGAGCUAUUGCAGUGACUGCAGGCAGCAGACAUGUUCUUGUCAGCUAAAAAUUUUCAUAUUGUUUUUGAGCCAUUGAGACUUGUAGAUGGGAUAGAGCCAGUUAUACCUUCAGUUCGCACUUUGCUGUCGAGACGUAAAACAGCACAGUUUUAGAUACACAUAUAGAUAUAGAUUUUAAAAACAAGAAGCAUUACUGGAUUUUAAACAAAAAAUUAUGUAAAAAGAAUGGCUGGUGUGAUUAUAAUCACAUCAUGCAGGGUCCACGGUUUCCAUUUAGUGAAAUUUCGCAGAGGGCAACUUCUUAAGAACAUCCCUGCUGUGCAGAGUGAAAAGCAUGAACAAACCAAAGACAGAAUUCAUCUGUGUUUAUAUUUUACAGACAAUGAAAAACCUACUCUUUGUAUGCCUUUUUUUCCACCUUAUUAUUUCAUGAAAACUGCAGCAUUUUCCCCACCCCCAUCCGAAUUCUCACCACCCAGCACUGCGGUGUUCGGUGUUUCUUUCUCUCUUUUUUUCCCUCCCUCUUCUUCUUUUUUGCUUUCACAAAUUCUGCACGCGCCAUCUUUGUCUAUUGUUAUUCUUUUCUAAUUUCAGUUACCCAUUCUCUUUCAAAUCAGUUAAUAAAUAGAAUGCUAAAUGCCUGAUGAAUGCUUGCGUGUUUAAUUUUGUUCCCCAUUUUGCUCAAAAAAAUACACCCCCCCACCCUACCCCAAGAAUUUUCUAAUAGUACCGUAACCUGUUGUGUGUAGUGGUUAUAAAAAUAUUAACAUAAUAGCAACAGCUGCAGCCUAAAUAGAAGCUAUGAGAUAAUUAAUGUGCUACAACAAAUUAAUUUGCUGCAGGUGCUUGUGCUCUGAACUGCGUAACCCACGCCAUUUCAAGUCUGAGUACAAUUACUAUUCUCUCCACAUGCUAAAACAAAAUGCAGAGCGAAAAUAUCUUGUUGUUAUAAAUAUCUUGUGUGUCUGUUGUCAAAGACCAUCCUCCCUCCUGCACGUUUGAGCCAUCGGUAGAGAAGAGUGGAACAGGCAAUUAAAAAACUCUAAUAGAAAUUUAUAUAUAUUUAAAGACGCUCCUGUGAUAUGUCUAGGCUUGAAGAUGUAAUGUAUGCCUAUAUAUUAAAUUACACCAAUCAUCUCUAACCUGUAUUCCAGUGCUUUGUGGGUAAAGACAUACUGAGGUAUUGCAUAUGUAUAAUUGGGAAGGUGUAGGUUGUAAACAUCUCAAUAGUAACUGAUGCAAAUUUGUAUAUUUUCCAUUUGCUUUAUAGCAGAGAAAAGCAAUUGUAUUUGCAGUUCAUCUUAUGGAAUCUGCAGUGAAUUAGAUGAAGAAUUUUACUCUCCUCUCUGAUAAACAGUGUUAAUGGGAGCCAGUUACUAGUUUACCUUUAAGAAAUAUGCCAAGUAACACACUGCAGCUCCGGAAGGGUACAAGGACAGGAAGCUGAGUGAAGCUAAACCGCCCAGAUACAACUAUCCAUUUUCAUUCUUGCGCUACAGUGUGAAGACUAACUUUGUGCAUGUAAAAAGAACAUACAGAUAUGAUUGCCUUAAAUCUUGUGAACAAGCUUAACUAAGGUUGAAGUUUAGAACUAAAUUGUUCUGAUUUUUCUUCAUUAACAUUCUAUUAAUGGAAAAUAGUUUUCUGUCUUCAUUACCAUGAUGCACCCUGCAUGCUUUUGAAUAUGUAAUUAAGGCUAAGAAUGAUAUAUUGUGUAUUUUAAAAUACUGCUGGUUCGCUGAGUAAUCUUAAAAAAUGUUAUUCUGUAAUCUAAAUAAAGUAAUAAUAUGUGUAUCUUAACAGGGAACUAUAAAAUUAAUUUCCUGAAGACUGCAUAGAUUUCAUCUGUAUUUUUGUUUAACUUACCAGUGAGCACCUGCAGGGAAACUUGAUGCUGAAACACUACUUGCACUGUGCUCUGGCUGCACAUUUUUGAGCCAUUAAAAAAAUAUACUUAAAAGGUCUGAUGAGGUGUCCUUACUCACACUAGUCAAUGCUUACGGACAUGAGUAGUCCUACAAAAGUAAUUUGGAUUACUCAGGUGAACAA